GAUUAAGUUAUUAAGGGCGCACGGUGGAUGCCUUGGCACUAGAAGCCGAUGAAGGACGUUACUAACGACGAUAUGCUUUGGGGAGCUGUAAGUAAGCUUUGAUCCAGAGAUUUCCGAAUGGGGAAACCCAGCAUGAGUUAUGUCAUGUUAUCGAUAUGUGAAUACAUAGCAUAUCAGAAGGCACACCCGGAGAACUGAAACAUCUUAGUACCCGGAGGAAGAGAAAGAAAAUUCGAUUCCCUUAGUAGCGGCGAGCGAAACGGGAAGAGCCCAAACCAACAAGCUUGCUUGUUGGGGUUGUAGGACACUCUAUACGGAGUUACAAAGGACGACAUUAGACGAAUCAUCUGGAAAGAUGAAUCAAAGAAGGUAAUAAUCCUGUAGUCGAAAAUGUUGUCUCUCUUGAGUGGAUCCUGAGUACGACGGAGCACGUGAAAUUCCGUCGGAAUCUGGGAGGACCAUCUCCUAAGGCUAAAUACUCUCUAGUGACCGAUAGUGAACCAGUACCGUGAGGGAAAGGUGAAAAGCACCCCGGAAGGGGAGUGAAAUAGAACCUGAAACCGUGUGCUUACAAGUAGUCAGAGCCCGUUAAUGGGUGAUGGCGUGCCUUUUGUAGAAUGAACCGGCGAGUUACGAUUUGAUGCAAGGUUAAGCAGUAAAUGUGGAGCCGUAGCGAAAGCGAGUCUGAAUAGGGCGUUUAGUAUUUGGUCGUAGACCCGAAACCAGGUGAUCUACCCUUGGUCAGGUUGAAGUUCAGGUAACACUGAAUGGAGGACCGAACCGACUUACGUUGAAAAGUGAGCGGAUGAACUGAGGGUAGCGGAGAAAUUCCAAUCGAACCUGGAGAUAGCUGGUUCUCUCCGAAAUAGCUUUAGGGCUAGCCUCAAGUGAUGAUUAUUGGAGGUAGAGCACUGUUUGGACGAGGGGCCCCUCUCGGGUUACCGAAUUCAGACAAACUCCGAAUGCCAAUUAAUUUAACUUGGGAGUCAGAACAUGGGUGAUAAGGUCCGUGUUCGAAAGGGAAACAGCCCAGACCACCAGCUAAGGUCCCAAAAUAUAUGUUAAGUGGAAAAGGAUGUGGCGUUGCCCAGACAACUAGGAUGUUGGCUUAGAAGCAGCCAUCAUUUAAAGAGUGCGUAAUAGCUCACUAGUCGAGUGACACUGCGCCGAAAAUGUACCGGGGCUAAACAUAUUACCGAAGCUGUGGAUUGUCCUUUGGACAAUGGUAGGAGAGCGUUCUAAGGGCGUUGAAGCAUGAUCGCAAGGACAUGUGGAGCGCUUAGAAGUGAGAAUGCCGGUGUGAGUAGCGAAAGACGGGUGAGAAUCCCGUCCACCGAUUGACUAAGGUUUCCAGAGGAAGGCUCGUCCGCUCUGGGUUAGUCGGGUCCUAAGCUGAGGCCGACAGGCGUAGGCGAUGGAUAACAGGUUGAUAUUCCUGUACCACCUAUAAUCGUUUUAAUCGAUGGGGGGGACGCAGUAGGAUAGGCGAAGCGUGCGAUUGGAUUGCACGUCUAAGCAGUAAGGCUGAGUAUUAGGCAAAUCCGGUACUCAUUAAGGCUGAGCUGUGAUGGGGAGAAGACAUUGUGUCUUCGAGUCGUUGAUUUCACACUGCCGAGAAAAGCCUCUAGAUAGAAAAUAGGUGCCCGUACCGCAAACCGACACAGGUAGUCAAGAUGAGAAUUCUAAGGUGAGCGAGCGAACUCUCGUUAAGGAACUCGGCAAAAUGACCCCGUAACUUCGGGAGAAGGGGUGCUCUUUAGGGUUAACGCCCAGAAGAGCCGCAGUGAAUAGGCCCAAGCGACUGUUUAUCAAAAACACAGGUCUCUGCUAAACCGUAAGGUGAUGUAUAGGGGCUGACGCCUGCCCGGUGCUGGAAGGUUAAGAGGAGUGGUUAGCUUCUGCGAAGCUACGAAUCGAAGCCCCAGUAAACGGCGGCCGUAACUAUAACGGUCCUAAGGUAGCGAAAUUCCUUGUCGGGUAAGUUCCGACCCGCACGAAAGGCGUAACGAUUUGGGCACUGUCUCAACGAGAGACUCGGUGAAAUCAUAGUACCUGUGAAGAUGCAGGUUACCCGCGACAGGACGGAAAGACCCCGUGGAGCUUUACUGUAGCCUGAUAUUGAAAUUCGGCACAGCUUGUACAGGAUAGGUAGGAGCCUUUGAAACGUGAGCGCUAGCUUACGUGGAGGCGCUGGUGGGAUACUACCCUAGCUGUGUUGGCUUUCUAACCCGCACCACUUAUCGUGGUGGGAGACAGUGUCAGGCGGGCAGUUUGACUGGGGCGGUCGCCUCCUAAAAGGUAACGGAGGCGCUCAAAGGUUCCCUCAGAAUGGUUGGAAAUCAUUCAUAGAGUGUAAAGGCAUAAGGGAGCUUGACUGCGAGACCUACAAGUCGAGCAGGGUCGAAAGACGGACUUAGUGAUCCGGUGGUUCCGCAUGGAAGGGCCAUCGCUCAACGGAUAAAAGCUACCCCGGGGAUAACAGGCUUAUCUCCCCCAAGAGUUCACAUCGACGGGGAGGUUUGGCACCUCGAUGUCGGCUCAUCGCAUCCUGGGGCUGUAGUCGGUCCCAAGGGUUGGGCUGUUCGCCCAUUAAAGCGGUACGCGAGCUGGGUUCAGAACGUCGUGAGACAGUUCGGUCCCUAUCCGUCGUGGGCGUAGGAAAUUUGAGAGGAGCUGUCCUUAGUACGAGAGGACCGGGAUGGACAUACCUCUGGUGUACCAGUUGUCGUGCCAACGGCAUAGCUGGGUAGCUAUGUGUGGACGGGAUAAGUGCUGAAAGCAUCUAAGCAUGAAGCCCCCCUCAAGAUGAGAUUUCCCAACUUCGGUUAUAAGAUCCCUCAAAGAUGAUGAGGUUAAUAGGUUCGAGGUGGAAGCAUGGUGACAUGUGGAGCUGACGAAUACUAAUCGAUCGAAGACUUAAUCAA
RNAcentral lists this ribosomal RNA (2924 nucleotides) under Staphylococcus aureus. RNAcentral's name for it is "23S ribosomal RNA". It matches the Rfam family "Bacterial large subunit ribosomal RNA". The record is from RNAcentral. Lineage: Bacteria; Bacillati; Bacillota; Bacilli; Caryophanales; Staphylococcaceae.